GACGUAGGGGCCGAGCGUUGUCCGGAAUUACUGGGCGUAAAGCGCGCGCAGGCGGAUUGUCGCAUCAUCGGUGAAAGCCCCCCGCUCAACGGGGGAGGGUCCGGUGAGAUGGGCAGUCUGGAGGCAGGGAGAGGCGAGUGGAAUUCCGGGUGUAGUGGUGAAAUGCGUAGAGAUCCGGAGGAACACCAGUGGCGAAGGCGGCUCGCUGGACCUGACCUGACGCUGAGGCGCGAAGGCGUGGGGAGCGAACGGGAUUAGAAACCCCCGUAGUCC
RNAcentral lists this ribosomal RNA (273 nucleotides) under uncultured bacterium. RNAcentral's name for it is "partial 16S ribosomal RNA". It matches the Rfam family "Bacterial small subunit ribosomal RNA", at positions 524 to 796 of the family's 1533-position model. The record is from RNAcentral.